Ictalurus punctatus (channel catfish) is the source of this 782-nucleotide long non-coding RNA. RefSeq lists it as uncharacterized. The record is from RefSeq and is a predicted model, not a curated record. The transcript has 3 exons. NCBI's taxonomy places the organism in Eukaryota, Metazoa, Chordata, Actinopteri, Siluriformes, Ictaluridae.
UUCGUUUGCCUGACCAGACAUUCACGCAGUGGCUAAAGAGAUCGCACCCAUUAACGGUGUUGACCUUCUUAAGAUCCGUAAUAUCCUUCUAGAGAAGUGGCUUUGCACACCAGGGCAGACAAAUGGCAAGGACCUCCAGUACCAGGACUCUGUGACUGAUCUUACUGAGGAUCCUGAUCUCAUGAGAGUGGUGUAUUUGCUGCAGAUGCACUCCAUGGAUAUGAGGCACGUUUCCUCAGUCCUAUCCUGAGUGCAGAGACAAAUGUAAAUUAUAUAGCUGUAGCUUCAGCAUGUAUAUGAUUUCUUUCCAUUUUAUACAGUAUUAGUAUAAUUUAAAGGGCCAGUGGGUAAAAUCAAAGCUCUAAAGUUUACAUGUACAGUAACACUGUAAUUAUUAUUUAUAACUCCUUCACACUACCUUCCCUCCAAGCCCAUAUACAUGUAUACCUGCCUCCUACAAUUUCUGAUGGACAGCAGUUUAUCGUCAUGUUCAUUUGCAACAAACCUUUCAUUUACUGGAUGAAUGAAUGUCAGCAUUCAUUCAUACGCCUCGUCCCAUAUGAGGAAAGUAUAUCUGGAAAACUAAGCGUUACGUAUCAGACUUGACACAUUAUACUGGUGUGUAAAACCUAACACUAACUUUUUUUUUAAAGAAAAACAAAGUACACAAUGAUUUAUUACAUUAAUACUAAAUAACGUUAUCUGUAUAUAGUUACACUUCAUAUAACUUGUGUUUGGGGCUGCAGCGACUAGUCUGAAUAAUCAGUAGACUUCCUGUAGAA